CAUAACAUCAAUUUUAUACAGGGUGCUAUAACUCUAUUUGAACCAUAUCAACGAUGAAAUUGUUUAAUUGGAUUUGUUUAUUUCAUGCAAUUAUUUCAGGUUCCUGUUAUUGGAUAGCAUACAGUAAUAAUAAAUGUUAUUGGAUUAGUGAGGUACAGUCGAAUUUCACUACAGCUGAAAAUUCCUGUGAUUCUAUGAAUAGUUCAUUACUCGCUAUAGAAACCCUUACAGAAUUUCAGUAUAUAUGCGAUCAAAUAAACGAUUUCUUAACAUCUGAUUUCUGGGUCGGUCUGUAUAAAAUCAACACAGCAUAUGAAUGGAAGGCUGGAACAUCACCUGCAACUAGUAUGUGGUUAAUCGAUGAACCUAACCACACCGGAAAUUGUGUACGCUUGAAACCAUUAGAAGGUGAACACAAGCUGGCAGACCAUGAGUGCACCUUCGCAUAUCGUCACAUCUGUGAAAAAGACAUACCAGGGCCCGUAUUGACAACUUUAACACAUAAAAGUUCGGCUUUAUCUGCCAACCAGUGCCCAUUUGAAAACUAUGCAAACACUGGUAUAAUAAAAUGUGCUAAGUUGUGUUAUAAGAACUAUUUAUGUACAACGUUUGGGAUACAGAAGACGACGAAGGCUUGCUGGUUGUAUAGUCUUAAACUAACGUGCAGUGUGAACCUACCCUCAGUCAAUGUGUUUUAUAGACUAAACAGAUGCGGGUAAACUUCAUAAACAUAUUAUUUCAGACGCACACAAACGUUAUGUUUUAUUUUUAUUGGGGCGUAUAGUUGUGAAGAAACGUGUUGUAUGAACUGGCAAUGAUUGAACUUAAAACGUGUUUUGCAGACAAAGCAGAUGAGGACAUAUUAUUUCCAACAUGAACAAUCGCAAACUAAUCGGCUGUAAAUAU
Molecule: long non-coding RNA, 906 nt
Organism: Patella vulgata (common limpet)
Lineage: Eukaryota; Metazoa; Mollusca; Gastropoda; Patellidae
Exons: 4
Source: RefSeq, a predicted model, not a curated record